AGCAUCAAUGGCCAAUCCAGUGGCAAUAGUGCUUAACAUUCCAAGAGCAGCCACAGCAAUGCCAUACAUGGCUGCAAAACUAAAACUAACAAAAAUACCAAUUGCUAUGGCAAAAAUUGGAAUGAUGACAGAUUUGUAUCCCAAGGCAAGACCAAAGAUGACAUUAGUUGCAGCCCCAGUCCUACAGGAAUCAGCAACAUCUUGCACAGGGCUAUAUGCAUUGCUAGUGUAGUACUCUGUAACAAAU
Molecule: unclassified non-coding RNA, 247 nt
Filed under: Hevea brasiliensis (rubber tree)
Lineage: Eukaryota; Viridiplantae; Streptophyta; Magnoliopsida; Malpighiales; Euphorbiaceae
Source: RNAcentral